Molecule: non-coding RNA, 101 nt
Organism: Musa acuminata subsp. malaccensis (wild Malaysian banana)
Lineage: Eukaryota; Viridiplantae; Streptophyta; Magnoliopsida; Zingiberales; Musaceae
Source: Rfam
GACGGGCAAAUGAGGAGUGCUUUGAUUUAAUGGGUAAUUUGCGUCUGAAGCAUUGAUUAUGAAGUUACCUAUCAUAUCACCUUGGAGAUCUGAUGCCCAAG